Long non-coding RNA from Musa acuminata AAA Group (dessert banana), 742 nucleotides. RefSeq lists it as uncharacterized. The record is from RefSeq and is a predicted model, not a curated record. The transcript has 3 exons. Lineage: Eukaryota; Viridiplantae; Streptophyta; Magnoliopsida; Zingiberales; Musaceae.
UCCCGUCUCCCGCCCUCGACGAGCACGGUUCUUCUUCCCUACGCGUCCUUCUUCCGCCGCCACCGUCGCUCCCCCAUCUUUCUCGCUCGAUCUUAGUGAUUCGAUCUUUCGCCUCGCUCUCUCGCCCUCCGUCUCUUCACUCAAUGAUGGAGUAUAGAAGAAUCACAGAUCGGCUAACCACCGCAUGAUUCUCUUAUCGAAUUUAGUACGCUAAAUCUGAUUGACACCCUGCGAUAAGGGUUUUUGAGGCCCUCUGCUCUCCGAUUCCGGAAGUCCCCCUGGAGAGCUUCUUGACUGCUGAUCUUGAGGUGGUCACCAACUUAUAAUCGUUGCCAUUGAAGGGAGAGAUUUCCAGUUGUACAGUGGAUGGUGUCCAGGUUUAUUGUGAAUGCAUUUAGGUUGUUCUUUUGAGGCUGUAAUGACGAGCCUUGAUGGACCUUGUUGUAGUGAACUGGGGUAUGGAAUGGCAGCAGUAUGCUGUGGCUUAUCCAAAGGCCAGGAUUACAUCAUCGUGAUGAGCUGCUCCUGGGCGCCCUGGGAUACAAGGAUGAAGAAGAACACUGGGAAUCAAUACAAGAAUUGAAGGGAGCCUAAUGGUGGAGUUGGCGCAGCUCGAGAUCCAACCCUUAAUCACUUGGGUUAAACUCGGAUGCUCUGAUCACCCAGGUAUUUGACUGAGUAAUACUGCAGCGAAUUUAUCUGCUACUUCUUCUCUAACUACGGGUAUCUGCAUGAAUUUAGA